This 103-nucleotide small RNA is filed under the name Escherichia coli. RNAcentral's name for it is "partial RtT sRNA". It matches the Rfam family "RtT RNA", at positions 30 to 130 of the family's 130-position model. Rfam says of the family: This family represents a bacterial cis-regulatory element known as RtT RNA. The record is from RNAcentral. Lineage: Bacteria; Pseudomonadati; Pseudomonadota; Gammaproteobacteria; Enterobacterales; Enterobacteriaceae.
CUUCGACCAAGGUGCGACUCGAGCGCCAGCGAGAAAGCGUUGCCGCAGGCAACGACCCGAAGGGUGAAGCGCGCAGCGCUGAGUAAUCCUUCCCCCACCACCA